GACGAACGCUGGCGGCGUGCUUAACACAUGCAAGUCGAACGGAAAGGCCCUGCUUGCAGGGUACUCGAGUGGCGAACGGGUGAGUAACACGUGGGUGAUCUGCCCUGCACUUCGGGAUAAGCUUGGGAAACUGGGUCUAAUACCGGAUAGGAACCAUCUUUAGUGUGGUGGUUGGAAAGUUUUUUCGGUGUAGGAUGAGCUCGCGGCCUAUCAGCUUGUUGGUGGGGUAAUGGCCUACCAAGGCGGCGACGGGUAGCCGGCCUGAGAGGGUGUACGGCCACAUUGGGACUGAGAUACGGCCCAGACUCCUACGGGAGGCAGCAGUGGGGAAUAUUUCACAAUGGGCGCACGCCUGAUGCAGCGACGCCGCGUGGGGGAUGAAGGCCUUCGGGUUGUAAACUCCUUUCGCUAGGGACGAAGCUUUGUUGUGACGGUACCUAGAUAAGAAGCACCGGCUAACUACGUG
RNAcentral lists this ribosomal RNA (466 nucleotides) under uncultured bacterium. RNAcentral describes it as "partial 16S ribosomal RNA". It matches the Rfam family "Bacterial small subunit ribosomal RNA", at positions 28 to 507 of the family's 1533-position model. The record is from RNAcentral.